This is a non-coding RNA of Camellia sinensis, 1074 nucleotides long. NCBI's taxonomy places the organism in Eukaryota, Viridiplantae, Streptophyta, Magnoliopsida, Ericales, Theaceae. The record is from RefSeq and is a predicted model, not a curated record.
UCUGCGCCUCUCUCUCUCUCUCUCUAUUUUCAGCGUCCCUCUCCCUCUCCCCCUCCCUCCCCGUCUCCGCUACUCCUCUCCCCUCCCUCUCUCACUGCCGCUCUUCUUCGCCUUCGAUGGAAACCGGAGCACCUCCUCCUCCUCCGCCAUCGCCAUCGCCAUCGCCAUCGCCAUCGCCAUCGCCAUCGUCAUCGUCAUCGUGAGUACCGCCGAUCUUUUCACGCUGCCGCCUCUUCCUCCUCUGCCGAUCUUCACAGAUCCACCGCCGUGAGAUCCAGAAGCUUCAUCGUUGAGAUGAACUCUGCUCUAUUGAUGCUCUGUCUCACUCUCUGGUGAUUUUAUUCAGACCGACCACCACUCUAUGCCACUGUUGGUAUUGGCGCAUUGCUACAACGGUAUUACAUUUGUUACAUAGGGUGUAACACAUAGGUUAAGUCAAGAAUGAUGGGGGAUUCUUCUGCAUAUAAAAGUACUCUUGAUUGUUUCAUCAAGACUUUGAAGAACGAUGGGCCUUUUGCUUUCUAUAAGGGCUUUAUCCCAAAUUUUGGACGGUUAGGAUCUUGGAAUGUGAUCAUGUUUCUGACCUUGGAGCAGGUAAAAGCUACAAACUCGAGCGAUGAUAGUUUUGUGGUUUUGCUUCAUUUCUUUUUGGAUUGUAAUUCCUUUUUUCUGAGAUAUACACUCUCUCCUAGCCACUUUCUAAGAAACCGUUCAAUAGUAGGCUUAUCUUUAAUGUGGUCACUUUUGGCAGUGUCAAGAAAAUGAAGCUUGAUUUCCUUUGUUAGGUUGCUAAUUUUUUUCUUGUUUGUUCUUUUUUCUAAUAACAAGCUAAGAAGUUUGUUAGAAGUAUAGAGUCACCUUGAGUUUAGAGAAUAGAUAGUGAAGCCAGCCGUGAAGAGAUUUUGGAUGGUGAUUGCUUCCAUAACCGAUGAAUGUUUAGAGAAAAAUAAAAUGCAUUGUUGUUGUUUUUGUUGUUGUUCCCAUUGUUUGAUGCUUAAUAAAGGGUCCUAAUGGAAAAAACAAUUGGAAAGAUUUUGGCAACUUGGUGACAUGUAUGCAGUUAUGAUUUUUGCA